Molecule: long non-coding RNA, 727 nt
Organism: Coffea eugenioides
Lineage: Eukaryota; Viridiplantae; Streptophyta; Magnoliopsida; Gentianales; Rubiaceae
Exons: 3
Source: RefSeq, a predicted model, not a curated record
UCUUUACAACAAUCAUUUUCUUGUCUAUUGCUUAGCUUCUGUUUUGGCUAACCAAUGCAUCUCCUGCACGGCUUCACCUUCCUGUCAUUUUUCACCUUCCUGUCAUUUUUGAAGCUGUUUAUCGUUCUUGUUUUAGGAAUCAUGCUUCUGCCUUGGAUAAUUCCUGCUCUGAUCUUCCUCUUUCUUUCUUUAGUCCUACUGUUUCCAGUAUUUUGUAUCCUCUUCUGGGCCUUAUUGUUGUUUAAGGUCAUAUCCAAGUGUCAGACAAAAGCCUCACAAGGAAUGGAUCAUCAUCAAGAAGUAAGUGAGCAGCAGGUGAGCCUGGAGAUGGAUUCAUCUCAGUUUUCCUUUGAUCCCGGUGAAUCAGGAGAAAGCAAAAAUGAGACACCGGAAACACCAAAGGCGAGCAGCAGGCAUUUCGAAUUGUGGCAAACUUGGCAUCCACAAUCUGUAGAAAUUCAUGAACGAAAACCGUUUAAUGAAUUAAUGGCAUUUUGGAGAAGGCAAGAGAAACUCACAAGUGAACAGAGAUAGCAGCAGCACACUACGGAAGGCAUAAGCCUUCAAGACCCAUCUCUGGAACUCCUAUGCUUGCUUUCAGCAAUGGUUGGAGUUUUAAGAAGGGAAGUAGAACUGAACUUUAUACUUGGAAUGAUACAGGCAUUGAUCAGCGAUGAUGACAUCCAACGAAUCCUGAGCAAAUCGGACUUUCUGGGCUUUGGAGAUA